This 414-nucleotide ribosomal RNA is filed under the name uncultured microorganism. Its description in RNAcentral is "bacterial SSU rRNA". It matches the Rfam family "Archaeal small subunit ribosomal RNA", at positions 459 to 872 of the family's 1478-position model. The record is from RNAcentral.
CAGCCGCCGCGGUAAUACCGGCGGCCCGAGUGGCGGUCACUAUUAUUGGGCUUAAAGCGUCCGUAGCCGGGGUGGGAAGUCCUCCGGGAAAUCUGGCCGCUUAACGGUCAGAAUGCCGCAGGAUACUCCCAGCCUAGGGAGCGGGAGAGGCCGAGGGGAUUCCCGGAGUAGGGGUGAAAUCCUAUAAUCCCGGGAGGACCACCUGUGGCGAAGGCGCUCGGCUGGAACGCGUCCGACGGUGAGGGACGAAGGCCAGGGGAGCAAACCGGAUUAGAUACCCGGGUAGUCCUGGCUGUAAACGAUGCGGACUUUGUGUCGGACAAGCUAUGAGCUUGUCCGGUGCCGGAGGGAAACCGUUAAGUCCGCCGCCUGGGGAGUACGGCCGCAAGGCUGAAACUUAAAGGAAUUGGCGGG